RNAcentral lists this long non-coding RNA (2524 nucleotides) under Canis lupus familiaris (dog). RNAcentral's name for it is "lncRNA (ENSCAFG00845020293.1)". Lineage: Eukaryota; Metazoa; Chordata; Mammalia; Carnivora; Canidae. The record is from RNAcentral.
AUAUAUUCUGCAGAAUGAUGCCAUUACCUUACAUAGUUAUGAUUUUAUUUCUUGUGAUGAGCAUUUAAGAUCUACUCUCUUCACAACUUUCAAAUAUAUAAUUCAGUAUUAUUAACUAUAGUCACCAUGCUGUACAUUAUAACCCCAGAAUUAUUUAUCUUUUAACUGGAAAUUCAUAGAUUUUGACUACCUUCACCCAUUUUCCCUACCUUCCACCUCCCAUUGAGGCUGUUUCUUACUUUGAAAAUCCUUUGGUGGAAGAGACUAGGAUAAGAAACACAUUGUUUUGUUUGGCUUUGUUUUGAUGUGUGUGUAUAUGAGUGUUUUAUUUUCUCUCAAGAUUUUAUUUAAAUUGAAGAUAGUUCACAUAUAGUGUAGUAUAAAUUUCUAUGUGAGUGUUUUAACAAACUACUAAGAUGCUUUUACUUUCCCCUAAAUUCUACUAAAAGCCUAUAUUUUUUGGCUUAGUACAUCUAUCUUUUAUGUUAUCAUAGACAGCUGAAAAAAAGCCAAUUCCAUAUUUGUAUGGAAGACACCUAGUAUUUUGCUAAUUUCCCCAAUGUGACAUGUGUUGAUGUUGCCAAACUUCUUACCUUUAUAUGACAAAGGUCCAGUUUUUUCUAGCUUCCAAUGACAAUUUUCUACCACUCAGGAUCUUAUAGACAGCCUUCUCAGGUCUUCCAAUGCUUCUUAAAAUCUCUUUAAGAUCCUUUCAGAUUCCAACCUAGUUUUAAAGUCAAUGCCACAUGUUUUGGAUUUCUAGUAUGGUGCCACAUUACUGCCAGUUGCCACAUUUUGUUAUGGCUAUCUCAAAUUUUGUUAUAGGCUAGUUUGCCUAGCAGACUGAUUAAAAAUUAUAAAAAUUUAAUUGUAUUUCACAAUUUUUGAAUCAGGGAAUCAGGUAUGACUUGGCUGUUGGAUUCUUCUUUAUGGGGCAUUGACUGGGGUCACUUAUUGGUAUUCAGUGGUCUUGUGACUUAGUGGCAGUAGGUGGAAGAAUGGGAUCAUCUCACACAUUUGUUUCUUCCUUUAGUCUCAAGGCUUCCCCACAUGGGCUUUUCAGAGGUUAGUUAGAUCUAAUACAUGGCAUCUUAGGGAUCCCCAAGAGUAUAAACCUGUUGAAAGCCUUAAGCCAUAAUGUCUGAUGCUCUAUACUCUGCUAUUAAAGCAGUCACAAGCCAGAUCAUAUCAAAAAGAAUAUGAAAACACACCUGCCUUUCAAUAGUGGAAGUGUCAAAGACUCUUCAGCCAUCUUUAAUAUGGCACAAUCUGCAAAGAGCUUAAAUUAUAUGAAACUUGAAACUUCCCUACUUUAAUAAUCUUAGUUAGCAAAGCCCACCUGCUUAUUCUCUUGGCGUAUAUGUCCUUACAGUUAAACUAGACAGAAAUGUAUUUUUUUGCAUUGGAAGUAAGAUAAAACAAAACAGUACAGAGAUGCUAAUUAUGCCCCAAGGAAAAAAGCCAUAGCCUAGUUGACUACCAAGAUUUUCAGAUAGGCCAUGUGAAAAAUUUCUCUGUUUUACAUUUAUAAUUAUAAUGAUAAACAUAUCUAGUGACUAUAUUGAAACUUGUCUGGUCUUAGGUCCAGAAAUUUUAUACUGAAGAAUCCAUCUAGUUUUAGUCUAAGACCAGAGUGGGUAGUGCAUGGAAUUUUACAUGAUAAGAAAUAAGAUAAUGGUGAAUCACAUUAAUUAACCUGUUUUUUUUAAUGGCUUUAAUUUUCUUCAAACUGAGAUCAAAAUGAUUACUGUAAGGACUGUGCCAAAGAAAGAAGGCAUUGCUAAUUUUGCAGGAUACACAACUGGGACUCUGUGAUAUUUAGAAAUAGGAACAAGCAAAGGAAACCAAGAAAGUGUGACCUGUCUGAUUAAAAGAAUAGCUAGAUCAUUUAGAGUAAUGGGAGUCAAGCAAAAAAAAUAUUUCAUGAGAAAAUGGUCAAAAUUAAUAAUAUUUCAGAAAAAUGUAAGAUUAGAAGGGUGUUUUAAAUUUGUGAACAUGAGAUUUAUUGGUAACCUUUACAAAAGCAGUUUAAAUAUAGUGAUGAUGGAAGAAGCCAAAUUGUAAUGGUUUGAAGAGUGAAUAGGAAUAGGGCAAGAGACUCUGAAAGGGCACUUAAUCAAUCCUUUCACUGAAGGAUGAUAGAGAAAGCGGUUUGGAGCACGAGGAGCAUGAGGGCCAGAGGUUUUUUUUAUUUUUUAUUUUAUUUUUCAACAUUUAUUUAUAAUCUUUACAUACAACUUGGGGCUUGAACUCAUGUCCCCAAGAUAGAGAGUCAUGUGCUCAACCGACUGAGCCAGCUAGAUGCUCCCAACGAGGUUUUAAAAAUUAUUUUGGAAAACUACCAAGAUGCAAAAUGAAUCCCAUAUGAUGAUAUAUUUGGGGAGGAGGGGUAAAUAGUUUUAUAAAAAUUAUUAUUAUAUAAGUGGUUUUAUAAAAAUUAUUAGUUGCCAGUCUUCAUAGGAAAGUAUUUCCUAUAGAAAGUUAAAUUUCUGUUGGAUGGGAUUUGGUAGUAUUUCCUUGAGAA